AUCUUUUUCAUAUAAUUUGGUGCGUUGAUCAAACGUACUACUUCAAUUGGAGCAUCGUCGACAACCUCAUCAAAAAGGUCUCCCGUGAUCGUUUCAUCAGAAGAACUGUUAAGAGUCAACUCCAAGGGCCCAAUAGAUUCAUACGGGUUAUAGAAAGGGGUAUUUCAUGGA
Molecule: long non-coding RNA, 171 nt
Organism: Cotesia glomerata
Lineage: Eukaryota; Metazoa; Arthropoda; Insecta; Hymenoptera; Braconidae
Exons: 3
Source: RefSeq, a predicted model, not a curated record